UCCUGGCUCAGAUUGAACGCUGGCGGCAUGCCUUACACAUGCAAGUCGAACGGCAGCGGACCUUCGGGUGCCGGCGAGUGGCGAACGGGUGAGUAAUAUAUCGGAACGUACCUUUCAGUGGGGAUAACGUAGCGAAAGUUACGCUAAUACCGCAUAUUCUGUGAGCAGGAAAGCAGGGGAUCGCAAGACCUUGCGCUGAUUGAGCGGCCGAUAUCAGAUUAGCUAGUUGGUGAGGUAAAGGCUCACCAAGGCGACGAUCUGUAGCGGGUCUGAGAGGAUGAUCCGCCACACUGGAACUGAGACACGGUCCAGACUCCUACGGGAGGCAGCAGUGGGGAAUUUUGGUCAAUGGGCGCAAGCCUGAUCCAGCCAUGCCGCGUGAGUGAAGAAGGCCUUCGGGUUGUAAAGCUCUUUCAGCCGGGAAGAAAACGCAUGGGUUAAUACCCUGUGUGGAUGACGGUACCGGAAUAAGAAGCACCGGCUAACUACGUG
This 492-nucleotide ribosomal RNA is filed under the name uncultured bacterium. RNAcentral's name for it is "bacterial SSU rRNA". It matches the Rfam family "Bacterial small subunit ribosomal RNA", at positions 17 to 507 of the family's 1533-position model. The record is from RNAcentral.